AACGAACGCUGGCGGCGUGCUUAACACAUGCAAGUCGAGUGCGCGUCUGUAGCAAUACAGAUGGCGCACGGCGCACGGGUGCGUAACACGUGGGCAAUCUGCCCUCCGAUGGGGAAUAACUCGCCGAAAGGCGAGCUAAUUCCGCAUAACAUUCCUUGGACUUCGGUUUGAGGACUCAAAGCCGUAAGGCGUCGGAGGAGGAGCCCGCGCCCGAUUAGCUAGUUGGUGGGGUAACGGCCCACCAAGGCAAUGAUCGGUAGCUGGUCUGAG
RNAcentral lists this ribosomal RNA (270 nucleotides) under uncultured bacterium. RNAcentral describes it as "partial 16S ribosomal RNA". It matches the Rfam family "Bacterial small subunit ribosomal RNA", at positions 29 to 296 of the family's 1533-position model. The record is from RNAcentral.